This 1968-nucleotide ribosomal RNA is filed under the name uncultured bacterium. Its description in RNAcentral is "bacterial LSU rRNA". It matches the Rfam family "Bacterial large subunit ribosomal RNA", at positions 1004 to 2844 of the family's 2925-position model. The record is from RNAcentral.
UCCGUCGUCGAGAGGGAGACAGCCCAGAUCGUCGUCUAAGGUCCCGAAGCGUGUGCUAAGUGGGAAAGGAUGUGGAGUCGCAUAGACAGCCAGGAGGUUGGCUCAGAAGCAGCCAUCCUUGAAAGAGUGCGUAACAGCUCACUGGUCUAGUGGUUCCGCGCCGACAAUGUAGCGGGGCUCAAGCACACCACCGAAGACGCGGCAACAGUUUUUGCUGUUGGGUAGGAGAGCGUCCCGCGUGGGGCGAAGCGGCCGGGGAACCGUGCCGUGGACCGCGCGGGAGUGAGAAUGCAGACAUGAGUAGCGAGAGACGGGUGAGGAUCCCGUCCGCUGGAUGACCAAGGGUUCCGGGGCCACGUUCGUCGUCCCCGGGUGAGUCGGGUCCUAAGGCGAGGCCGACAGGCGUAGUCGAAUGGAUGAACGGGUGGAUAUUCCCGUACCGGCGGCGUACCGUAAGAGCCGAACGGAUGAGUACUAACCUCCGGUCGCGUGGCGUCGUUCCCUUCGGGGUUCGGGGUCCGCGGUCGUUGGGAGCGUAGUCCUGGUAGGCUAGCGCACAGGGGUGACACGGAAUGGGAGCCGGCCGCGGAGGUGGUUUUCCGUGGUCAAGCACGCAGCCCGUCCCAUAGGCAAAUCCGUGGGACGCAUAGGGUGAGGUGUGAUGAUGGGCGUCUUUUAUGGCGCGAUAUCCGGUGGUCCAGGCCGUCGAGAAAAGCCUCGGCGCGAGGGGCGUCGCCGCCCGUACCCCAAACCGACACUGGUGGUCAGGUAGAGAAUACCAAGGCGAUCGAGCGAAUCCUGGUCAAGGAACUCGGCAAAUCACUCCCGUGCCUUCGGUAUAAGGGAGACCCCCGGGCGUGAAGAGGCUUGCCCUCGGAGCGUUGGGGGGUGGCACAGACCAGGGGGUAGCGACUGUUUACCAAAAACACAGGUGCAUGCGAAGGCGCAAGCCGCUGUAUAUGCACUGACGCCUGCCCGGUGCCGGAAGGUUAAGAGGAUCCGUCAGUCCCUUUUGGGGUGAAGCGGUGAAUUCAAGCCCCGGUAAACGGCGGUGGUAACUAUAACCAUCCUAAGGUAGCGAAAUUCCUUGUCGGGUAAGUUCCGACCUGCACGAAUGGCGUAACGACUUCCCCACUGUCUCGACCAGGAGCUCGGCGAAAUUGCAGUACGAGUAAAGAUGCUCGUUAAGCGCAGAAGGACGAAAAGACCCCGGGACCUUUACUAUACCUUGGUAUUGGCGUUAGGCGCGGAUUGUGUAGCAUAGGCGGGAGGCUUCGAAGCAUGGGCGCCAGCCCGUGUGGAGCCGCAAGGUGAAAUACCGCUCUGUUCUCGUUUGACGUCUCACCUCGAACAGUCAUCCUGUUCAGGGACAGUGCCUGGCGGGUAGUUUAACUGGGGCGGUUGCCUCCCAAAGAGUAACGGAGGCGCUCAAAGGUCCGCUCAGCCCGGUUGGCAAUCGGGUUUCGAGUGUAAUCGCACAAGCGGGCUUGACUGCGAGAACGACGGUUCGGGCAGGGACGAAAGUCGGAGAUAGUGAUCCGGUGCCGGCGCACGGGCGCGGCAUCGCUCAACGGAUAAAAGGUACCCCGGGGAUAACAGGCUGAUCAUUCCCAAGAGUCCAUAUCGACGGGAUGGUUUGGCACCUCGAUGUCGGCUCGUCGCAUCCUGGGGCUGGAGCAGGUCCCAAGGGUUCGGCUGUUCGCCGAUUAAAGCGGCACGCGAGCUGGGUUCAGAACGUCGUGAGACAGUUUGGUCUCUAUCCUCUGCGCUCGUUGGAAUCCUGAGGAGGCCUGCCCAUAGUACGAGAGGACCUGGGUGGACGGACCUCUGGUAUGCCGGUUGUCGCGCCAGCGGCAUGGCCGGUUGGCUACGUUCGGGAGGGAUAACCGCUGAAAGCAUCUAAGCGGGAAGCCUGCUCCAAGAUAAGCAUUCCGUGGAACCUUCGAGUUCCUGUAGUCCCCAUGCAGA